AUUGAACGCUGGCGGAAUGCUUUACACAUGCAAGUCGAACGGCAGCACGGGGCAACCUGGUGGCGAGUGGCGAACGGGUGAGUAAUAUAUCGGAACGUGCCCAAUCGUGGGGGAUAACGUAGCGAAAGUUACGCUAAUACCGCAUACGAUCUACGGAUGAAAGCGGGGGAUCGCAAGACCUCGCGCGAAUGGAGCGGCCGAUAUCAGAUUAGGUAGUUGGUGGGGUAAAGGCUCACCAAGCCAACGAUUUGUAGCUGGUCUGAGAGGACGACCAGCCACACUGGAACUGAGACACGGUCCAGACUCCUACGGGAGGCAGCAGUGGGGAAUUUUGGACAAUGGGCGCAAGCCUGAUCCAGCCAUUCCGCGUGCAGGAUGAAGGCCUCGGUGUAACUAGCUUUUGUACGGUAACGAAACGGUACGUGCCCUAAU
RNAcentral lists this ribosomal RNA (432 nucleotides) under uncultured bacterium. Its description in RNAcentral is "bacterial SSU rRNA". It matches the Rfam family "Bacterial small subunit ribosomal RNA", at positions 30 to 466 of the family's 1533-position model. The record is from RNAcentral.